AUGCGGAUUCUGCAAAUUUUCCAUCUUUAUCAGGAUAAUUCUGCACGCUGUUGGAUCUUUGAAAAAAAUCAACUUAAAGAAGCUCCCGUGCACACAAAUUUCCCAGAGCUAAAAGAAUCAAUAGAUCUCUCAGUAGUAUCUCAUCAAUGCUUUGGUCUUACACUUGCACCUGGAGAAGUAAUGAUUGCUGUGGUCCGCAGCUUGGAUCCAAAUAUGCUAGAUCAGAUGUAUCAAGCCAGGACACAAAAGGCAGUGGUUGAGUUCAUUUGGAUUAGUGGUCAGUUCCUUGGCAUUCCACUAAACAAGGACAUUUAUAUCUCCAACAAACAAUCUGCAAAGUCAUCCGAGACUAACUUCUUAUGGUGGGGUUCCAACAUUCUUUGGUCACUGAAGAAUUAUGAAAAAUGUGAAACCAGACUUGUCUUAUGGGAUGUCAUAGCUGCUUUACAAGUGCUCAUGAAAUCCGCACCAGCAUUUCUGGAGACACUAAUGCAUAAAUGGGUCUCAGAUUUGUUUUCAGAUGACCAACAACGUGUUUCUAUCGAUACCCUGUGUCAGUGUAGAAAGGACAUGAUGUCCAAUGUCAGCUCGCGGAAGCUACACCUGCUGAAUAUCAUUUGUAGGAAAGUAAUGCUUCGUGAUCCUGCUGGAGAAAAUGGUAAUAGCACGUCAACUGAUUUGUGGAGCAGUCUUCUGUUGAGCAGCGAAAGAGAGCUACGAGAGAGACUUGUGGCUUUCACUUUUGCUGCUGCCUUGAAUCGAAUGUCAUAUUUUCGCAAGGGCGCAUGUGCUGAAAACAUGUGGUUUCCUGUUGGUGUUGCCCAGAUGCGUUCUUGGGUGUCUAUGAACAGUGGAGGAGUGCAUAAUCAGCUCAGGUCUCUCAGUUCGACAAUUAAACGUCUUGGAAGCAGGAUCAUGUGUGAAUACUCAGCUAAAGAAACCUGUGCCUAUUGCUCCGCACCGGUUCACUUCGAGUCACCUGACAUAGCCUUGUGUGGAAGUGUUGAUCCUGCUAUUGUUCCCACAGAAAGGCACAAGCUGUCAAGAUGUGCAGCAUCGAUGCGCUUAUGCUCUGUUCUGGAACCAACCUGGUACUGUGUAUGUUGUGGAGGAAUGGUUGAUAAGCUUGUGCCCGAGACCUAUUUCACCAUGAAGACAUCUCCCUUGUUGGAUGCUGCCGAUCCAGAUGAUGAAUCGUCACUUUAUUCAGCACCUGCUGUUCCUCGUUGCCCCUUCUGCGGCAUACUGCUGCAGAGGUUGAUGCCAGAGUUCCUGCUCUCCGUCUGCCCGGUAUAG
RNAcentral lists this ribosomal RNA (1296 nucleotides) under Triticum aestivum (bread wheat). Its description in RNAcentral is "partial small subunit ribosomal RNA". The record is from RNAcentral. Lineage: Eukaryota; Viridiplantae; Streptophyta; Magnoliopsida; Poales; Poaceae.